GUGCUUGCUUCAGCAGCACAUAUGCUAAGAUUGGAACAACACAGAGAAGAUUAGCAAGGCCCCUGUGCAAGGAUGAUAUGCAAAUUCAUGAAGCAUUCCAUAUUUUA
This is a small nuclear RNA of Meriones unguiculatus (Mongolian gerbil), 107 nucleotides long. Lineage: Eukaryota; Metazoa; Chordata; Mammalia; Rodentia; Muridae. The record is from Ensembl.